This 63-nucleotide microRNA precursor is filed under the name Drosophila yakuba. RNAcentral describes it as "Dya-Mir-9-P12-v1_pre stem-loop". It matches the Rfam family "mir-9/mir-79 microRNA precursor family", at positions 3 to 62 of the family's 78-position model. Rfam says of the family: The mature ~21nt miRNAs are processed from hairpin precursor sequences represented here. miR-9 is processed from the 5' arm of its precursor, and miR-79 from the 3' arm. Lineage: Eukaryota; Metazoa; Arthropoda; Insecta; Diptera; Drosophilidae. The record is from RNAcentral.
GCUUUGGCGCUUUAGCUGUAUGAUAGAUUUAUACUACUUCAUAAAGCUAGAUUACCAAAGCAU